AGCGAACGCUGGCGGCAGGCCUAACACAUGCAAGUCGAACGGAUCCUUCGGGAUUAGUGGCGGACGGGUGAGUAACACGUGGGAACGUGCCCUUUGGUUCGGAACAACUCAGGGAAACUUGAGCUAAUACCGGAGGUGCCCUUCGGGGGAACGAUUUAUCGCCAUUGGAGCAGCCCGCGUCUGGUUAGCUAGUUGGUGAGGUAAAGGCUCACCAAGGCGAGGUUCAGUAGCUGGUCUGAGAGGAUGAUCAGCCACAUUGGGACUGAGACACGGAUCAAAGUCCUACGGGAGGCAGCAGUGGGGAAUCUUGCGGAAUGGGCGAAAGGCUGACGCAGCCAUGCCGCGUGAAUGAUGAAGGUCUUAGGAUUGUAAACUUCUUUCACCGGGGACGAUAAUGACGGUACCCGGAGAAGAAGCCCCGGCUAACUACGUGCCAGCAGCCGCGGUAA
RNAcentral lists this ribosomal RNA (449 nucleotides) under uncultured bacterium. RNAcentral describes it as "partial 16S ribosomal RNA". It matches the Rfam family "Bacterial small subunit ribosomal RNA", at positions 29 to 523 of the family's 1533-position model. The record is from RNAcentral.